CCGUCCCGUAGUUUCCCUCGAGUGUUUGAAGUUACAGGAAUCUAAAGGGUGGAGAAUGAAGCGGCGCAAUGCGGACUGCAGCAAACUCCGUCGCCCGUUGAAACGGAACCGAAUCACCGAGGGUAUUCACAGCAGUACCUUUCUAUACCUGAAGUUCCUGGUCGUUUGGGCGCUGGUUCUGCUGGCCGAUUUCGUGCUGGAGUUCAGGUUCGAGUAUCUGUGGCCUUUCUGGCUCUUCAUCAGGAGUGUUUAUGAUUCCUUUAGAUAUCAGGGAUUGGCGUUCUCUGUGUUCUUUGUGUUUGUUGCAUUCACGUCAGACAUCAUCUGCCUCCUGUUCAUCCCCAAGCAAUGGCUGUUCUUUGCUGCCAGCACGUAUGUCUGGGUACAGUACGUGUGGCAUACAGAGCGAGGCGUUUGUCUGCCCACUGUCUCUCUCUGGAUUCUUUUCGUCUACAUCGAAGCAGCCAUCCGAUUCAAGGAUUUGAAACAUUUUCAUGUAGACCUUUGCCGUCCAUUUGCAGCUCACUGCAUUGGCUAUCCGGUGGUGACGCUGGGCUUCGGCUUCAAGAGUUACGUGAGCUAUAAGAUGCGUCUGCGGAAGCAAAAGGAAGUCCAGAAGGAAAAUGAGUUCUACAUGCAGCUCCUACAGCAGGCCCUGCCCCCAGAACAACAGAUGCUUCAGAGACAGGAGCGAGAGACAGACGAGGCCACUUCAAAAGGCACAUCUGAAGCAGACUCUGUGUUAGUGGCUCAGAACGGCACUGCUAAUACCAAGAAACUGCCCAUCUCUCUACCUGAACUGGAGUACAAGGAGAAGGGCAAAGACGGGGGGAAAGACAAAAAACAGCAGCAACACAGCAUAGGAAUAAACAACAACAUCUUACAGACUGUGGAUGCUAAACUACAGGACAUUGAGUAUAUGGAGAACCACCUAAACACUAAGAGACUCAACAAUGAGCUCGGCGGCAGCGCAGAGAACCUGUUCCUAAAAGAGGAGGUAGGCGGUGGAGGAGGAGGCUCUGCCCCCUCUAAACAUUACAAAAACUCCUCCCCCCGUAGCCACAACUCCACCAAUGGCAGCGUACCAUCCUCCUCAUCCAGCAGGAGUGAAAAGAAACAGAAGUGUGCAGGGAAGAACCUUGCACCACACAGAGAUCUGAUGGAGAACUGUAUACCUAACAACCAGCUCAGUAAGCCAGAUGCAUUAGUGCGGCUUGAGCAGGACAUAAAGAAGUUGAAGGCUGACCUGCAGGCGAGCAGACAGGUGGAGCAAGACCUGCGCAGUCAGAUCAGCUCUCUGAGCAGUGCCGAGAGAAGCAUGCGCUCUGAGCUGGGGCAGCUCCGCCAAGAAAACGAGUUACUGCAAAACAAGCUUCAUAACGCUGUGCAGGCCAAGCAAAAGGACAAGCAAAUGAUUGUGCAGCUUGAGAAGCGGCUCAAGGCAGAACAGGAAGCGCGAGCCGCAGUGGAAAAGCAGCUUGCAGAAGAGAAGAAAAGAAAGAAGAUGGAAGAGGCUACAGCUGCACGUGCUGUCGCUCUGGCAGCUGCCUCCAGAGGGGAAUGCACAGACUCGCUGAGGAGUCGCAUACGUGAGCUGGAGUCAGAAUGCAAGAAGCUCAUGCACGACAUGAAGCUAAAGGAGGAACUCAUCAGAGAGCUAGAGCUCAAAGCGCAAGAGCUGCGUAAAUAUAAGGAGAACGAAAAGGACACGGAGGUUCUGAUGUCAGCACUGUCGGCCAUGCAGGACAAGACCCAGCACUUAGAGAACAGUCUGAGUGCUGAGACCAGAAUUAAACUUGAUCUCUUCUCAGCACUCGGAGAUGCCAAGCGACAGCUAGAGAUUGCUCAGGGUCAGAUUUUGCUGAAGGAUCAGGAGAUAAAAGAAUUGAAGCAGAAGAUCGCAGAGGUCAUGGCGGUCAUGCCCAGCAUCACCUACUCGGCAGAGACCAACAACAUGACCCCUGUGACCCCACAUUACUCAUCCAAGUUCAUGGACACCAGUCCUUCCAGCUUGGACCCCAAUGCCUCUGUCUACCAGCCGCUCAAGAAGUGAAUGUUCACACACGUCGUCCACUUCGCUCUUUGAUUUGUCUAAAAGUUCAGUAUGCAAACCAGUGGGAUGGGGUUGUAUUUUUGUUUGAUUUACCCCUUCUGUUAGUAUGUUAUUGCUAAUAUAAGUGGAGGAUUAGAAGGGAAAAAAUGGAUGUCACAUUAACAAGAACUGCCCUCCUGGUGUUUGAAGUUAUUUUUGAAGCUCUUCCACCUAAGUUCUUUUCUUGGUAACGGCACUUCAGCCUAUUGUGGUUCUUUUGUCAUCCUAUAUCCGUUUUGUGAGGUCUUAAUGAAGACCUUUCAUGAUUUUAUUAGUACCACCCCAUCUUUGUGUUGAAUCUGAACCGUUUUAUGUGCCAGAAAUGUUGGCAUGACUUUUUACUUCCCUGGUGUAAGCGUACAUAUUUAAGUUCUUUGAAUGUAAAAAGAAAAGGGAAAAAUGUACUGAGAUGAGGCACAAGUAUUAGUGAUGGAAAACAUGUCGUGUUUGUUGCAAUGGAGUGAUUAAGAAUGCAUUUGUUUAAUUAUGACCAUAGUAUUGUACAUCUGUUUUCAGGGUGGUAUAAAUCAUUUCAUUACAGAUGUUGGAUCUGAAUUAGUUAUAUUUUUUCAAAUUUUCGGUUUCUCCCAAUGCUGUUUUUCAAGAUGUCGAAGACACGAAAAAAACCCGCGUGUUUAAAAAGGGACUGAUCUUCACAUUGUAUUUGUGGACAAAAAUGCUGCAUAAAUAUUUGGGAAUGUUGUCGUAUUUUGCGGUCAAUGCAAGUCCUUUUUGUUACCGGACGAAAUUGAAAUAGAAUUUAGUUAAAACCAGUUGAAAAACUGGACAUAUGAUGUCUUGUUUGCCAGUUGUUAUGUUACACAGUGCCUUGAAAUAUCUUGUUUAAUAUAUUCUCACACACUUCCCAUGCCAUGUUCAACCACUCCUAGAAUCCAUCUGAUUGGUCAGCAUACCAUAUGACCUGUUAUUCCCAAGUGUGGCAUUUAAAAUCAUCUGCCCUCUUGUUGCCAUAUAACAGCAAGCCCACUUUAAUCCACUAGUUAUCAGUGUUCCAUUAUUUCUGCUGUCUCUAAUUUGCGUUAACAUGUUCAUUGCAUUUUAUAAAAUUCGCUGAAUGGUUUGAUUUUGGUCAAAUGUGCCAAUUUUUUCUCCCCUCCUCCAUUUAAUGUCAUUGAAGAUAAUGCAAACUAUACAUGCAUCAUUUUAUAGAGCUCUCAUUGCAGAUAACGUCUAAAAUCAAUCCAUUAAUGCUUCAUUACAAAGUUCUACUUCACAUUUCUUCUUCAUUGGUUUAAGGAUUGUGUCAAGAUCCAGGCAGAAUAUGCCUGUUUGGUUUAGUCCUUGUUUUACAACAGGGGUUUCUUUUUUAUUUGUCUACCUUGGGAAAGUAUUACUGUGGAUUGCAUUUGGUGUUUUUAUGGUAAACUUUGUGGAGAGUAAAGAACACGCCUUUGUUUCUCA
Rhinichthys klamathensis goyatoka is the source of this 3514-nucleotide RNA transcript. It is a transcript of the gene named macoilin 1a, with no coding region annotated. The transcript is spliced from 12 exons. Lineage: Eukaryota; Metazoa; Chordata; Actinopteri; Cypriniformes; Leuciscidae. The record is from RefSeq and is a predicted model, not a curated record.